Molecule: transfer RNA, 74 nt
Filed under: Oryzias latipes (Japanese medaka)
Lineage: Eukaryota; Metazoa; Chordata; Actinopteri; Beloniformes; Adrianichthyidae
Description: tRNA-Thr (CGT) (tRNA-Thr-CGT-14-1, tRNA-Thr-CGT-14-2)
Rfam family: tRNA
About the family: Transfer RNA (tRNA) molecules are approximately 80 nucleotides in length. Their secondary structure includes four short double-helical elements and three loops (D, anti-codon, and T loops).
Source: Rfam by way of RNAcentral
GGCACUGUGGCUUAGUUGGUUAAAGCGCCUGUCUCGUAAACAGGAGAUCGUCGGUCCAAAUCCGAGCAGUGCCU